This 383-nucleotide unclassified non-coding RNA is filed under the name Hevea brasiliensis (rubber tree). The record is from RNAcentral. Lineage: Eukaryota; Viridiplantae; Streptophyta; Magnoliopsida; Malpighiales; Euphorbiaceae.
UGAAACUCUGGAUGGGCUUGAUGCCCUUGCUCAUCUAGCUAUCCUAGAAGAGGGAGAGACCCUUCCAGCAUCACCACAGGCCACAACUAAGCAUCCACGUCAUAGACCUGGGUGUACAUGCAUUGUCUGCAUCCAGCCCCCUAGUGGAAAAGGUCCUAAGCACAAGCAAUCAUGUGAUUGUAACGUCUGUAAAUCAGUAAAGCGUCGUUUCAAAACAUUGAUGAUGAAGCGUGAAAAAAAGUUAUCAGAGAAAGAAGCAGAAGCUACUUGUCAAAAGCUGCAGCCGCAAUCAGCUGGGCAAUUGCUUGAUGCUGAUGACAUUCAAGAACCUAUUGAUGAUGCAGUGCAUUCAAGCCCUCAGCAUGAAGAGCUGAACAUUGAAG